UACGUAGGUGGCAAGCGUUGUCCGGAUUUACUGGGCGUAAAGAGCGCGCAGGCGGUCGUGCAAGUCGUGUGUGAAAGCCCCCGGCUCAACUGGGGAGGGUCACGCGAUACUGCUCGACUCGAAGGCAGGAGAGGGAAGUGGAAUUCCCGGUGUAGUGGUGAAAUGCGUAGAUAUCGGGAGGAACACCAGUGGCGAAGGCGACUUCCUGGCCUGUUCUUGACGCUGAGGCGCGAAAGCUAGGGGAGCAAACGGG
This 253-nucleotide ribosomal RNA is filed under the name uncultured bacterium. RNAcentral's name for it is "partial 16S ribosomal RNA". It matches the Rfam family "Bacterial small subunit ribosomal RNA", at positions 524 to 776 of the family's 1533-position model. The record is from RNAcentral.